UUGCUACUGUUAUGAAUCAUAAUGUAAAUAUCUGAUAUGCAGGAUGGUCUUAGGCGACCCCUGUGAAAGGGUCCUUCUAUCGCCAAAGGGGUCACGACCAACAGGUUGAGAACCGCUGGUCUAAAGUCAUGUCAAAUAUAAUCUUGAGACUUGCUUCUCUUGACCAUAUUCUCAAGUUACCCAUGGUACAUAAAUAUUUUUGCAUGAUUUUGCCUGGUUAUUUUUCUUAGUUAUUACUCCUCUUAAUUUUUAUUCACUUAAUUAUUAAUUCAACAAAUUAUGUUUCCUUCAGAGUGUUUUAUACAUGUGUUUUUCACUCAAUUUAACAUAAUUGACAAUUUAUCUCUAAAGUCUAAAGCCAUUUUCUAAGAUAUUCCUAUCCCCUUACAAGAAUUCUUUAAAUCCUCAUGUAUUUUUAAUUUGUAGGAACGUUUUUUAGAUGGAACAAACAUUAGAGAUUUCUUUCAUUAUUUUUGAAAUGGGCAUUACCUGGCCAAUAUGCAGACACAAACAUUGUUGAAUGUAUGGCUUUAACUGCAUCUUCUUAAUGAAGUUGAGGAAACCUGUCUCAUAUUUGUGUGUUUGUAUCUUUUAUCUCAGCUUGGAGGAAGGCUCAAUUUAAGUUGGUUUGGAUGAAGGCGCCAUUGUAUGCUGGUGAGUGACAUGGACUGUGAUUAAAGAAAUCUUAUUAUCAAAGAUUUUUAGUUGAAUACUGUGUGUGCAAUUCUGAAAAUCAAAGAAACCCCAAAGUAUACAUUCCAUGAACUCAAUAGAUUAUUCAAUAUUUUAACAGAUAAGGAUGUGUUUAAAACAUUACAUUUUAGUAGAUUUUAUUUAUUAAUUUCAUCUCACAUUGUCUUAAGCAUAGGUAGAGUGUUCAUCAUCUGCUAAAAAUUUAGGAAACUAAAGCAAAAAAAUAAGUUAUUUGGUCAGACUCACCUUAUGCCCUAUUUACUGUCAAACAUCCUAAAUAGAUUAUAGAUAUUUAUCCUAUAGGAAUGUUGUGUGAGGAGCGCAUAAGAAUGGGUCAGAUCUUCAAGUCAGACAUAAUUUAGGAGGUGGUACAAGAGCCUGUAGUAUAUUACAGAGUAUUAUCUUUUGUUGUUUUAUCUUGAAUUAACCCCAGUGAAUUUAUACUAAUAGAAUUCUGGACAGACAGACAGCGUAUCUUUCAAAUGGUGGGUCCUGAUGUUCAUUUGUUCUGUUCCUUUCAGAUUGGAGAAAAGAGGAGUUCGAAACUGUAAAUGUGAUUCUGGAUGCAGGCACUGCCCAUCCUGCCCUCCUGUGUGAAGAUGGGAAACGAGUAACCUGGCGAGAGCCUUGUCAAGAUCUACCCCACUCCACACAGAGAUUUGACUCCCUUCCCUGCGUGCUGGGUCAGCUGGACCUCAGGAGAGGGAGAUCCUUCUGGGAGGUGGAGGUUGGGAACGCACGUUCCUGGGACCUGGGAAUUUGCAGGGAUAAUGUCACGAGGAAAGGGAGGGUUACUAUGUCUCCACAGAAUGGUUUCUGGGCCAUAAGGCUCUAUGAGGGGGCGUACUGGGCCCUCACUUCCCCAGAAACCCCUCUUAGUCUAAAACAAAGACUCCUUAAAUUGGGGAUAUUCCUGGAUUAUGAGGCUGGAGAUGUAUCUUUCUAUAACAUGACAGAUGGGUCCCACAUAUUCAGCUUUCCUAAGAACACGUUCUACGGUGCCCUAAAACCUCUUUUCAGGCUUUGGUCAUCUGACUCAGGCUCCCUAACCAUCUGCCCGGGGGGAAGAACGCCUGAUGUUACAAUUGAUAUUCCUAAUUAACUCUCAUAAGAAAGUAUUACUUUGGGCCCCAAUUAUGAUAUAAACUGAUUUUGUCCUUCUUCUUACUGGUUCAUGUUCAAAAUGAAGCUCUGAGACACUGAUGAUUUCCCUCAUAUCAGUUCCUCCUUCUUCCUUAGUUAGACUCCUCUCAUUAUUGCCUUGUCCUAGGACAGCCUAAUACAGUGAUGGCGAACCUAUUACACGCAUGU
This is an RNA transcript of Myotis daubentonii (Daubenton's bat), 2004 nucleotides long. It is a transcript of the gene named butyrophilin subfamily 1 member A1-like, with no coding region annotated. The record is from RefSeq and is a predicted model, not a curated record. Lineage: Eukaryota; Metazoa; Chordata; Mammalia; Chiroptera; Vespertilionidae. The transcript is spliced from 3 exons.